This 253-nucleotide ribosomal RNA is filed under the name uncultured bacterium. Its description in RNAcentral is "partial 16S ribosomal RNA". It matches the Rfam family "Bacterial small subunit ribosomal RNA", at positions 524 to 776 of the family's 1533-position model. The record is from RNAcentral.
CACGUAGGGCGCAAGCGUUGUCCGGAAUUAUUGGGCGUAAAGAGCUCGUAGGCGGUCUGUUGCGUCCGCUGUGAAAACUCGGGGCUUAACCCCGAGCCUGCAGUGGAUACGGGCAGACUAGAGGUAGGUAGGGGAGAAUGGAAUUCCCGGUGUAGCGGUGAAAUGCGCAGAUAUCGGGAGGAACACCGGUGGCGAAGGCGGCUACCUGGACCAGCACUGACACUGAGGCACGAAAGCGUGGGGAGCAAACAGG